UUCUCCCCCAGCCCCUUUCUCCCUUUCUUUCUUUCAUUCAGAAACAAAUUGAGCCAAAAAAAAAAAUAUCCUAGCCUCACCACCGCCGCAAGCAGUGGCACAUCGCCGCCGUCCGUCGCACUCAAAGCCGCCGUCCGUCCGUCCGUCCAUCCAUCUAGCUUCCCUCGUUCUCCAAGUCUCCAACCCCUGUUCGCUUUCACCGAUCGCAACUUCUUCCUCGAGGUGGGCUCGGUGUCCGUCGUCUUCCUCUGCUAGCCGUUGUCUGGUAGCCGUCGCUGCGCCGAGGAGGACGACCUUGAACUUCCGCCGCCGCCGCCAUCGCCGUCGUCUUCUGAACGAUAUGUCUGUUCGAUCUUCGCCCUUGGAAGCUGGUUCAUCGGUCGUCAGCGGUGAAGUGAAGAAGAAGGAAUAACAGUGGUCGUCGUCUGGUCUUCAUCUGCAAGCCUUUGUCUUCAUCUGCUCGCCUUUGUCUGAUCGCCGUCGCGCUCAACUGCUAUCCGUCAUUGUCUGCCCAGACUGCAAAGAUCGAAGGAUUCUGCUACUGCUAGUGCCAGAUUGAAUUGUUGAAUGAUUAACUCUGCUUUCUGCUGCUGUGCUUGUUCAGAAAUCAAACCUUCUUCGUGCUUGUUCUUCAAACGUCAUUGCUCGUCAUAUUUUUUGCCCACUACUAGUGCUAGUGUUCACUGCUAGUGUUUUGUGUUUUUUUGGCUCACUGCUUGAUGAUAAAGAUUAAAUCUGUUACUGGCUUACUAGCUUGUUCUUGCUUGUUCUAGGUUGAUUAACUCUGUUAUUGGCCUACAGAUUGAUGAUAAAUUGAUAGUGACAAAUUGUUGAAUGAUUACUGAUAAAUUGUUGAAUGGUUAUUGAUUAUUGAUAUUGAUACAUUAUAUUGAUUAUUGACUGAUUAUUGAUUA
Arachis ipaensis is the source of this 914-nucleotide long non-coding RNA. RefSeq lists it as uncharacterized. NCBI's taxonomy places the organism in Eukaryota, Viridiplantae, Streptophyta, Magnoliopsida, Fabales, Fabaceae. The record is from RefSeq and is a predicted model, not a curated record.